RNAcentral lists this ribosomal RNA (538 nucleotides) under Neothremma alicia. RNAcentral's name for it is "SSU rRNA". It matches the Rfam family "Eukaryotic small subunit ribosomal RNA", at positions 604 to 1119 of the family's 1831-position model. The record is from RNAcentral. Lineage: Eukaryota; Metazoa; Arthropoda; Insecta; Trichoptera; Uenoidae.
UACUAAAGUUGUUGCGGUUAAAAAGCUCGUAGUUGAAAUUGUGUCCUGCGGUGUCGGUCUACCGAAUGCGGUACGACAGGCACGUCUGCGAAGCUUCUCGCCGAUGCGUCCACCGCCGGCGUGUGUCNGUCGGCCUCACGGUCGGCCGCNNNNCAAGGCGGGCCGUCGCRGCUGUUUACUUUGAACAAAUUANAGUGCUCAAAGCGGGCUUACACUUGCCUGAAUAUUGUACGCAUGGAAUAAUAGAAUAGGACCUCGGUUCUGUUUUGUUGGCUUUCUGAUACCAGAGGUAAUGAUUAAUAGGGACAACUGGGGGCAUUCGUAUUGCGACGUUAGAGGUGAAAUUCUUGGAUCGUCGCAAGACGGACUAAAGCGAAAGCAUUUGCCAAAGGUGUUUUCAUUAAUCAAGAACGAAAGUUAGAGGUUCGAAGGCGAUUAGAUACCGCUGUAGUUCUAACCAUAAAUGAUGCCAGCCAGCGAUCCGCCGAAGUUUCAUAAUUKUAACUCGGUGGGCAGCUCCCGGGAAACCAAAGCUUUC